Molecule: long non-coding RNA, 1593 nt
Organism: Mauremys reevesii (Reeves's turtle)
Lineage: Eukaryota; Metazoa; Chordata; Testudines; Geoemydidae
Exons: 5
Source: RefSeq, a predicted model, not a curated record
UACCACAGCCUGCCCCAGAAAAAAGGCAGUAGAGCUGGGUCUUCCAAGCUGCCUAGAGAAGCUGCAGAGGGAGACAGUCAAUCAGAGCCUAACAGGCUCAUAUAAAAGGAGCUGCAGGGCCUGGACAGUUGUUGGCUGGAGCCCGAGGAAGAAGGAUGCUGUUCCUGGCUGGCUGAGGAAGCUGCAGCAGCUGGGCAGAGCAGUUGCUGGUUGCGACCAGAAGGAGUGGAAGGCUGGGAGACAAUACAGGCACUAGGGAGAAACCCUGCCUAAGCAGGAGUAGGACUGUGAAGCUCCCCAGGCACAGAGGCCUGGGAGAGAGAGAGCUUUGACAAGAAUGGCCAGAGACUGUUAUAAGCUCUCCAGGUGAAGGGGCCUGCGAGAACAGGGCAGAGACUGUUACAGACUCUCCAGGCAAAGAGGCCUGGGAGAGACCCUGCUUAAACAGGGAGCAGGUCGAGGACCCCAGAAGCUGAUUGGACAGAGUGGGAAGCAGCCCAGGAAAUGCAACAAUAGAUGCUAGUGAUGGAAGCGGCAGUUGGCUGCUACUCGUAGGGUCCCUGGGUUGUGACCCGGAGUUGUGGGCAGGCCUGGGUCCCCCCACUGGUCACAGACAGAGUGGCCAAGGGCGAAGGAGGCAAAAAGUUUUGUUUGGAAAGCAAGAAGGGGGCAGGUGCUUAAACAAGCCCAGAGACAGGCCUGAGAACCUUAGGGAGGGGCUGACUGUUUGUUUGACUGUUACCCCAGUAGGGGUUGUUUUCCAUCCAUUUCACAUACAGACUGUGUGUGACUCGGCUUCAGGGCUGAGUCACUGAAAGCCCAUCUGAAAAGAGAAACUACCAGCAGAAAGCACCACAAAAGCAGAGAGUGCAGGCCCGUACGCAGCCAGCAGGAGGCGCUCGCGGGAGGCAGUGGGAAUAAAUUGUGGCCGGGCUGGAAAGCCAUGUUGUGAGAAGAGGCUGACCACUGUGAGACCAGAAUGACCGUCAGCAAGGGGUGCAUGACAGAGCUGCUACGCUGCGCCUGGCCAGGAGGGGGCACCCCAGCGCUGCAGACAACCAGUCCUCAAAUGACAGACAAAUGCAACUUAACUCUCACAGACCUACCUGAAUUUACACAAUUCUCAGGAUACGUGAGGGUUACAAUAUUUGUUGCAAUCGCAUGAAAUAGAAGUGUCAGAAGUCAGCAGUGAUAUGUGAUGUCAAGCCACGUCCUCGUCUAAGAGAAGGAGAGAGGUGAACUGGGCUAACCAAUGGGAUAAUCCCCUAUUCCUGUCAUGCAAUUUUAAAACAGGCUGCCCCAAACAACAGAGCAUUGAAUAUUAUAACAACACACAAAGAACAGCAAAGGGAGAGAAAAAUUAAGAGGCACAAACAAGGGAGAAAACAUCUUGCUGAGAUUUGCUAUAGAAUGCUGCUGAGACAGCAAGGAGGUACGAAGGCCACUACAGAUAUUAGGAGUGGCAGAGGAGAAUACUCUUUCACCAGCAAUGGCCAGAUUGUGUCAAGGGACAGAAAUAACGUGACUGGAGGGUGGAGAAGACCUGGAGGGGAGUGGUAAGAUGAAAUCUGUGUGAUAAGAAAGGGGGAAGUC